This is a microRNA precursor of Oryza sativa Japonica Group (Japanese rice), 196 nucleotides long. It matches the Rfam family "MIR812 microRNA precursor family". Lineage: Eukaryota; Viridiplantae; Streptophyta; Magnoliopsida; Poales; Poaceae. The record is from Rfam.
AAUAAGUGCAGUUUUGCACUAUUCACGUUUAACGUUUAACCGUUCGUCUUAUUUGAAAUUUUUUUAUGAUUAGUAUUUUUAUUGCUACUAGAUGAUAAAAUAUGAAUAAUACUUUAUAUGUGAUUAAAUAUUUUCAAUUUUUUAAAUAAGACGAACGGUCAAACGUUGGACACGGAUAUCUACUACUGCACUUAUU